Molecule: long non-coding RNA, 933 nt
Filed under: Triticum aestivum (bread wheat)
Lineage: Eukaryota; Viridiplantae; Streptophyta; Magnoliopsida; Poales; Poaceae
Description: long non-coding RNA (TAES_LNC012100)
Source: RNAcentral
AAGAAGAAGAAGGAGGAGAAGAAGAAGAAGAAGAAGAAUAAGAAGAAAAUGAUGUAACCGUAGAUCCAAGAUAUAACAAAGAUUUCAGAAAUGACAACCACAACGAGGGAUAUAAAAAUCCUGCGACCAAGGUUGCUUCUGCGAAGCUCAAAAAAACAAUACAGAAUUAUAGAUGAAUACAUCCCACCUUAAAUAUCUAUUAACAAUAUGCUCUAUGAUGUUCAUUUAAACUACCGCCAUCUUAUAGGUACUAGAGGAAGAAAAUGACAUAGAUGAUGAUUCCGACAAUGAAGAAACCAAUAAUGAGGUAAUAUCAAAUAAAAGGAAAAGGAUUUAAUUUUAAAUAUAUUAUUUCCAAAAUAUAAAAUCAUUGUAUGAAAUAAUAAUCCAUUAGUGUAUUGGUCAUUUCCUACUUUAGUCUAAUAUUAUGUAUGCAUUUCAUCAUAUAUGUAUUACAUAAUACAUUAUUAAAUUCCCACAUUCUAUGUUACAGGUACAAGAGGAAGGAAAUGACACAGAUGGUGAUCUCACAAUUGAAGAAAGUACAAGAAUGAACAAGGUAAAUACGUUGAUGAUAUACAAGCUUAAUAUCUACCAUGAAUUUAGAGAAAUUUACAAAUGUUUCAUUAAUAACAUUGUUUUUGCAUAUAUGCAGGGAGACAACAAUAGUCAUGCCGACAACUGUACCAUCAAAGGUGACAAUGAUGAAGAAUGGAACACCAAAACUAGAAGCAAAAUUGAAAGGGAUCGAGAAGAGGUGUCUAGAGGGGGGGUGAUUAGACACUAAGUACCAAAAAUUGCAGUUUUUAACUUCUUUAAGUUUAAGUGGAGUUUAGGCACAAGUUUAACACUCACAAUACAUAACAAGAAAGCAUGCAAAGAGAAUAUGAGCAGCGGAAAGUAAAGCAUGCAACUUGCAAGAAUGUAAAGGGA